This 493-nucleotide ribosomal RNA is filed under the name uncultured bacterium. Its description in RNAcentral is "bacterial SSU rRNA". It matches the Rfam family "Bacterial small subunit ribosomal RNA", at positions 21 to 507 of the family's 1533-position model. The record is from RNAcentral.
GGCUCAGAUUGAACGCUGGCGGCAUGCCUUACACAUGCAAGUCGAACGGCAGCACGGGAGCAAUCCUGGUGGCGAGUGGCGAACGGGUGAGUAAUAUAUCGGAACGUGCCCAUGUCGUGGGGGAUAACGUAGCGAAAGCUACGCUAAUACCGCAUACGUCCUGAGGGAGAAAGCGGGGGGAUCUUUGGACCUCGCGCGAUUGGAGCGGCCGAUGUCGGAUUAGCUAGUAGGUGAGGUAAAGGCUCACCUAGGCGACGAUCCGUAGCGGGUCUGAGAGGAUGAUCCGCCACACUGGGACUGAGACACGGCCCAGACUCCUACGGGAGGCAGCAGUGGGGAAUUUUGGACAAUGGGGGCAACCCUGAUCCAGCCAUGCCGCGUGAGUGAAGAAGGCCUUCGGGUUGUAAAGCUCUUUCGGCCGGGAAGAAAUCGUGGUCUCUAACAUAGGCCAUGGAUGACGGUACCGGACUAAGAAGCACCGGCUAACUACGUG